This 581-nucleotide ribosomal RNA is filed under the name Dujonia zeylanoides. Its description in RNAcentral is "[Candida] zeylanoides partial large subunit ribosomal RNA". It matches the Rfam family "Eukaryotic large subunit ribosomal RNA", at positions 56 to 653 of the family's 3401-position model. The record is from RNAcentral. Lineage: Eukaryota; Fungi; Ascomycota; Pichiomycetes; Serinales; Debaryomycetaceae.
GAAAAGAAACCAACAGGGAUUGCCUCAGUAACGGCGAGUGAAGCGGCAAAAGCUCAAAUUUGAAAUCUAGCACUUUCAGUGUUCGAGUUGUAAUUUGAAGAAGGUAACUUUGGUUUUGGCUCUUGUCUAUGUUCCUUGGAACAGGACGUCACAGAGGGUGAGAAUCCCGUGCGAUGAGAUGCCCAAUUCCAUGUAAAGUGCUUUCGAAGAGUCGAGUUGUUUGGGAAUGCAGCUCUAAGUGGGUGGUAAAUUCCAUCUAAAGCUAAAUAUUGGCGAGAGACCGAUAGCGAACAAGUACAGUGAUGGAAAGAUGAAAAGAACUUUGAAAAGAGAGUGAAAAAGUACGUGAAAUUGUUGAAAGGGAAGGGCUUGAGAUCAGACUUGGUAUUUUGCGUUCCCUUCCUUUUUGGUUGGGUUCCUCGCAGUUUACUGGGCCAGCAUCGGUUUGGAUGGUAGGAUAAUGACAUUGGAAUGUAGCUUUACUUCGGUGAAGUGUUAUAGACUUUGUUGAUACUGCCUAUCUAGACCGAGGACUGCGUCUUUGACUAGGAUGCUGGCGUAAUGAUCUUAAGCCGCCCGUC